CCUACGGGUGGCUGCAGUAGGGGAUAUUGGUCAAUGGGCGAAAGCCUGAACCAGCAACGCCGCGUGUGCGAUGAAGGCCUUCGGGUUGUAAAGCACUUUUUACCGGGAAGAGGAAGGACGGUACCGGUAGAAUAAGCCUCGGCUAACUACGUGCCAGCAGCCGCGGUAAAACGUAGGAGGCGAGCGUUAUCCGGAUUUACUGGGUGUAAAGCGCGUGCAGGCGGACGAGUAAGUUGGGUGUGAAAGCCCCCGGCUCAACUGGGGGAGGGCGCUCAAGACUGCUGGUCUAGAGGACGGUAAGGGAAGGUGGAAUUCCGGGUGUAGUGGUGAAAUGCGUAGAUAUCCGGAGGAACACCAGUGGCGAAGGCGGCCUUCUGGGCCGUUCCUGACGCUCAGACGCGAAAGCUAGGGGAGCAAACGGGAUUAGAUACCCCUGUAGUC
RNAcentral lists this ribosomal RNA (441 nucleotides) under uncultured bacterium. RNAcentral's name for it is "partial 16S ribosomal RNA". It matches the Rfam family "Bacterial small subunit ribosomal RNA", at positions 338 to 795 of the family's 1533-position model. The record is from RNAcentral.